UCGUGCUUUAAAGGAUGAAUGACAAGUCACAAGUUAAACUAUCCUAGAUCUCUGAUCUAGUGGGACAUUUGGCACAUUGUCAGUGAUAUGUGUUCGCUUGUUUCCAUAAUAAAUUGGCACGGAAUGUGGCAAGGAAUAUAAAAUAAUGUUCCUCCUUUAAAUGCGAUACCUUGUUAUUUUUUGUAAAGGUGGAGAUUUAAUCAAUAAU
RNAcentral lists this unclassified non-coding RNA (208 nucleotides) under Arceuthobium verticilliflorum. The record is from RNAcentral. Lineage: Eukaryota; Viridiplantae; Streptophyta; Magnoliopsida; Santalales; Viscaceae.